This is a long non-coding RNA of Paramormyrops kingsleyae, 2719 nucleotides long. RefSeq lists it as uncharacterized. NCBI's taxonomy places the organism in Eukaryota, Metazoa, Chordata, Actinopteri, Osteoglossiformes, Mormyridae. The record is from RefSeq and is a predicted model, not a curated record.
UUUUGAAAAUCUCAUUGUGGAAUAUAAGCGCGCAGCUUAUUUGAGAUGCAUUGAAAUUUAUCGACAUGCAUGGUUAUAUUAACAACUUUGGGAUAACCUACAACCAUAACUAUAUGAACAAUUGAACUAUAACAACUGGAAAAUGAAUAGAUAAAUUUGCCAUUAUGUUUAAUAAAUAUACUACUGAUUAUAAUAGUGUAAUCAAUGUUGUUAAUUGCUGCUACUCAUAUCAGUCUUUACUUUUCGGUGUUGGUUUUUUGUCAAGGGCAGGCGAUCAAAUAAUAUGUAUAGUUUCUCAUCCGCUGCUACAUCUGGGGUGGUACGUAAUGGAGUCGUGAUACAUACACAGAGUCGGCCGUGGGCUUAGAUGCCAUCUGUGUUAAAAAUUACGGCAAUAAAUGAGUGUUGGGAGACAUGCAGCCUCUUAAUUAUGUGUGAAGCGGAGUUAGGUCGAUAACACGCUAAAAAUUCAUACACUACAAACACCACUGUAGUUUUUUUUUUAGCCCAGGAAUUCAGGUAAUUUAAAAUAUAAUAUUAUCAGGUUGCUCCAUUUAAUCAUUACGGACUUCUGUGCCAGACAACAACGUAAUUAUAAAACAAUUAUGUUGUAUAAACAGAAGGAGCUGCUUCUGUUAAGAGCGCCUAUUACUUUCCGUUCAGUUACCUCCGAUUAAAUGCCGUGGAGAAUUGCGGUCACACCGUUAACCGCCUGCCAUCGUUCCCAUGCCUCGCUUUCUGUGACCCUUGGCGAAGCCUAAGCUUUUUCAGCUCUCCAAGGACAGAAGGGUAGUACGGAUCAGGUCGGCCCCUGGGUCGCUGCAGCAAACAGGAGCACCGUACGUGGUCAUUUGUCCCUGACCCGUACAUGUAUCUAAUCGGUGUCGAAGACAGAAAUUGUGACGAGGUGCCGGAAAAGGUUCAGGCAAAGAGGACAGGAACAAAGCCAGCAGUGCCUGAAUAACGACCCAUAUUCAGUUAGGUUUGGGCAGCCUGCUUGUACCAGAAUGGGCUACAUGACUUCGAUUCACUGUCCCAGCCAGGUUGUGGAUUCAAGAUUCAAGAAGGGACUAUUGCAGAAUGGAAGACGGAAAACUUUGGCCAGGUAGCGGUGUUUAUAUGCCGCCGCAGGUGAAUUACACAAAAACCCAACCUGUGUCAGGUUUUCAUGAUGACACAAUAUUAAGUGAAGAUGCAUAUUUAAUUAUGUGAAAUGACACCCCAAAAGUGAUGCAUUUAUUGGCCAUAAUCAGAGAGGGGAUCUUGAGGACCAAAGGCGAGCAGGUCUGUGUUGUCUGAGAUGGGGUUUCCCACAGUUGACCUGAGCCCUUCAGGUAACGGUCCUGUAUGUGUCCUCUAGACGGGGACAGCGGGGGGGUCGCGAGAAGCUGUGCUCCACGUCCUGCUGCUCUCUUACUAUCUCUCUCCAGAUGAGCUGAAGAGCACGGCGGAGAAUGGAGGAAGCCGCUGCAUCCUGAAACUCCGUCGUGUCCCUUGGAGAAGUUUCUGCCCAUGUGCUUGACUCUUCACGAGCAGGGCGAGGAAUCACCUUCACGGUCAGCAGGAUUUUUUGAUCGACCACUGGGAUGAUGUGGGGGACAGGUCGAUGGGGGGGGGGGGUUUCAGCAGAUGUCAGAAAUUAUAAACAAAAGCCCAGGCUCACUUCUCACCAUUCGACACAAUCAACACUGACGUGCUUUAACAGCCCCGCUUGGGGUGUGGAACAAAGAGCUGGCAGUCGCGGGCUGUCCUGAGGGACGCGCGCUUCUGUGAAUGUCUGAUGCGCUGACUUUGCAGUCCUUCUGUGAAAGUAGUUCCGGCCGUUUUUUUCCAGGGGGUGUGGCCAUUGUCUGAAGAGAAAGACCUAGUGACAUUGGAGGAAGGACUGGCCCAGUUACACACACUGCACCCAAGUUUAGUGAAACCUAACAGCACUCCAUCAGGACAGCGUUUACAGAUUGGCUUUAUUAUACCCAACAGUGCUGUAGUGCAGCAAGGUUUAGGGAAAAUAGGUUUAGUAACUUAACUACCCUGAAAUGUAGCAUUUCUGUAUCUUAAAAGGUACAUUUACCUACAGCUAGGGUACAUUUGGCAGAUCCUCGAGGGUACAGCCCCAGUGACAAGCAAAGGUACAAAUUGGUUCUCUUUUUUUCUCACACUACAACAUUUUAUCCGGCUCAGGUAACAAAAGCUUUGAUCAUGCAAAAGUGAAAAUGUCCUUGGUGAUUUGACUACGCCUUAGUAUAACUAAAAUUUAGGACUUUACAGGCAGGAAAAAAAACUAUGUAUACUAUUAUUUUAAGGAUGCUCAUCUUUCUAAAGCUGUUGGCAAUUCCUCCAUCCCGCCUGUUUCUCUUCUAUAUUUGAAAAUUUGAUGAAGCCCUUUCCAGUGGCUAUACGUAAUGAGUGGGCAUGGUUUCUAUUCCGGCAUGUAGCAUACUCACAACAUUCCUGUAAUGUUGCACCAACAUCCCAGCUAAAAGUUUCCAGUUAUGAGAACAUUCUUGGAAUGUUUAGGUUAUGUUAAUGGAAUAAUAGGUUUACCUGCUGAUCACCUUGUUUGUAUAUUUCUGCUGUAGGUCACAGUAAUUUAGCUACUGAUCAGGGAGGAGAUGGGGACCAGUGAUGCUGAUUCAUUUCACAGCAAUAUUUUUAGUGCAACUUUAGCAAAACAUUCCAAGAAAAUAUAAUGUGAAAGAUGAGUGUUAAGCCUCUGGAG